This is a long non-coding RNA of Raphanus sativus (radish), 1842 nucleotides long. RefSeq lists it as uncharacterized. The record is from RefSeq and is a predicted model, not a curated record. The transcript has 5 exons. NCBI's taxonomy places the organism in Eukaryota, Viridiplantae, Streptophyta, Magnoliopsida, Brassicales, Brassicaceae.
UCGAGUUAAUCUCCUCUUUCAUCUUCUUCCUCACAAUAAGAAACAAAACUAGUUACCGAAUAAUCUUCAAACUCAUCCAUUAAUCUCUCACACACGAUCUAUAUUCAAUGUGAUAUCUGAUUAUACAUGACGGUGAGGUUCAUCUAUAAAAAGACGGGCCGCUCCUCCUACACUGUACAAGUCCGGUUGUUCCGUUUGUGGGAAGCCAGGAAUGUCCGCUGUGGUGAAGAGCUCAUGGGAGUGGAUAUACUUCUACUGGAUUCUCAGGACUUCUACGGCGACCACCUUCAACGGAGGUCUUCUCAGAAAUUUAUCAACUUUCCUGAAGCUUCAAAGAUAUCUCAAAGCGUCCACAGCCAUGGAGAGAACCAAAGUCCAGAGUACUAUGCGGAGCCAAUCGUACGUUUCCUUAGAUCAUUUUCUUUCAUCUUUUUUUUUUUAAUUUAAGUAUGCUUACUUCCUUUGUAUUCUUUUACUGGAAUUCUCUUUGUCUUCUGGUGGUUUCACGGCGGAUCCAUCACUUGAGUGAAAGGUUGUUCAAAAUGUGGGCUCCAAAAUAAUGGAUUUGACAGGUUUAAGUAUUUUUUCCAUGCAUGAAGCUUGGAUUCGUAUUUAGCUAUUUUAGUAGGAGAAAUGAGUACUGAAGAAAUAAUUAAUAUAAGUAAUAUUUUCUUGCACAACACAUUAUUUAGCAACAAAUCUGUUUCUAAGAGAGCUACAUAUGUAUGUACUAUGUAAUUCCUAAUUUAGUUUUCUUGGUAAAUCCAGUUUCGAUUCAGAAACAUUGCGGCUAUCUCUCUAACUAUGCAGAUCUGUGCGAGAGUAUAUGAUUGGGCAAUUGAUGUGUCUUGGUUUUUCCAAGAGUUAAGGAAUUCAUGUUGUUUUCUUUGUGCUUCUGAACUCUUAUGUUGAUCCAGAGUACAAAGACUACAUAGGUAAUUUGAUCAACACUCUUUAUGCAUAUUCAAAAGUUACAUAUCAGUUGAUUAUUUUCUUUGAUGUCCUGUGUUAUAAUCCCUCAACAUUAUAGAGUGUAGAAGUUUAGUAGUCCAACAAGUUGAUCACAUAUAGAAAACAUUGAACUUUGAACUACUUUUUCAUUGUGUUUAAAAGUACCCAUUGUUCAUACUUCAUCUGUAUGAAUGAUGACAUGACAUCGGGUUUGACCGAGAAUGUAUUACAGCGGACGUAGCGCUGGUUUAACUCCAUUGGUGCAGGCUUAGCAAUGUCACCAGAUUUGCGGGCCUACCAAAAUAUAAAAGCAGAAACGUUUAUGCAGCUUAUUUGCCAUUUCUGCUGGAGAACAGAGCUAGCAGCUGCAAAUACUGAAGGAAGCUGAGAGCUUGACUUCUUGAACGGCGUCAACCUUGAUUCUCAAUUUCCAAGUCAUUUUUUUCAGUUCCACGAUUGCUAAACUGGAAUAUGAAGCUAGAGUGGAAAUCAUUGUGAAGGAUGGUUUUUGUCUGAUAAAAUGAUGCAGAUGAGUGAUGGACAAAGGAUAGAAGCAUUGCAAAGGACAAGAAUUCUGAGACAACUGUGAGAUCUAAAUAUUUACAUUUCGAUACUACGGAAACUUAAAAAAUCUUCCAUCGUUUUUAGACUUUCACCCUAAUUGAUUCAAUGUCCACAAUCUCAAACAAGUAAGAUAUCUGCAUAUAUUCUAACAGAUGUGUGUUUUUAUGUUGUCUCCAACAUGUAACUAAUAGUGUGAUCUUUCUCUUUCUUUUUUUGAAUAUUCGGUGACCACAAUCAAUGAUUUCCAAAAAGCUUUUAUAUCUCAAGAACUGUGAUGCAAUGUAUUUUCCUCCAUUACUCUAUUCCAAACUUUUUAUACCUUUCUAU